GCGGAGGAAAAGAAACCAACAGGGAUUGCCUCAGUAACGGCGAGUGAAGCGGCAACAGCUCAAAUUUGAAAUCUGGCUCCUUCGGGGCCCGAGUUGUAAUUUGCAGAGGAUGCUUCGGGUACGGGUUCCUUCCGAGUUCCCUGGAACGGGACGCCAUAGAGGGUGAGAGCCCCGUCUGGUAGGACACCCAGCCCGUGUGAAGCUCCCUCGACGAGUCGAGUAGUUUGGGAAUGCUGCUCUAACGGGAGGUAUACUCCUUCCAAGGCUAAAUACCGGCUGGAGACCGAUAGCGCACAAGUAGAGUGAUCGAAAGAUGAAAAGCACUUUGAAAAGAGAGUCAAAUAGCACGUGAAAUUGUUGAAAGGGAAGCGCUCGCUACCAGACAUGGGUUCGGCGGUUCAACCGGGGCCACGCCCCGGGGCACUCCGCCGGCCCAGGCCAGCAUCAGCUUUCCGUCGGGGGCAAAGGCGUCGGGAAUGUGGCUCUCCUUCGGGGGAGUGUUAUAGCCCGGCGUGUCAUACCCUUCGGGGGGCUGAGGUACGCGCUUCUGCAAGGAUGCUGGCGUAAUGGUAGCUAGUGACCCGUCUUGAAACACGGACCAAGGAGUCAACCUUAUGUGCGAGUGCCCGGGCGUAAAACCCCAGCGCGGAAUGAAAGUGAACGUAGGUGAGAGCUUCGGCGCAUCACCGACCGAUCCUGAUGUCCUCGGACGGAUUUGAGUGAGAGCAUAUAGGGUUGGACCCGAAAGAAGAUGAACUAUGCGUGUGUAGGGUGAAUCCAGAGGAAACUCUGGUGGAGGCUCGCAGCGGUUCUGACGUGCAAAUCGA
This 827-nucleotide unclassified non-coding RNA is filed under the name Gibellulopsis serrae. RNAcentral describes it as "sequence contains 28S rRNA gene". It matches the Rfam family "Eukaryotic large subunit ribosomal RNA", at positions 50 to 901 of the family's 3401-position model. The record is from RNAcentral. Lineage: Eukaryota; Fungi; Ascomycota; Sordariomycetes; Glomerellales; Plectosphaerellaceae.